CGGCCGCGUCGACGAACGGGUGAGUAACGCGUAGGUAACCUGCCUGGUAGCGGGGAGGUAACUAUUGUAACGGAAUAGCUAAUAACCGCCAUAAAAUUAAGUAUUAUUUGUCAUGAUAAUUAGUAUUGUAAAGAAUAGCAAUUAGUCAUCACUACCACGAUGGACCGUCGCGUUGGUUAUUAGUCUAGUUGGUUGGAGGUAACGGGACGUCACCAACGGACGGACGAUACAUAGCCGACCUCGAGAGGGUGAUCGGCCACACUGGGACUGGAGACACGGCCCAGACCUCCUACGGGAGGCAGGCAGUAGGGAAUCUUCGGCAAUGGGGGCAACCCGUGACCCGAGCAAAGUCGUGGAGGCAAG
Molecule: ribosomal RNA, 363 nt
Filed under: uncultured Streptococcus sp.
Lineage: Bacteria; Bacillati; Bacillota; Bacilli; Lactobacillales; Streptococcaceae
Description: bacterial SSU rRNA
Rfam family: Bacterial small subunit ribosomal RNA
Source: RNAcentral